AGACGAACGCUGGCGGCGUGCUUAACACAUGCAAGUCGAACGAUGAUGCCCAGCUUGCUGGGUGGAUUAGUGGCGAACGGGUGAGUAACACGUGAGUAACCUGCCCCUGACUCUGGGAUAAGCGUUGGAAACGACGUCUAAUACUGGAUAUGAUCACUGGCCGCAUGGUCUGGUGGUGGAAAGAUUUUUUGGUUGGGGAUGGACUCGCGGCCUAUCAGCUUGUUGGUGAGGUAAUGGCUCACCAAGGCGACGACGGGUAGCCGGCCUGAGAGGGUGACCGGCCACACUGGGACUGAGACACGGCCCAGACUCCUACGGGAGGCAGCAGUGGGGAAUAUUGCACAAUGGGCGAAAGCCUGAUGCAGCAACGCCGCGUGAGGGAUGACGGCCUUCGGGUUGUAAACCUCUUUUAGUAGGGAAGAAGCGAAAGUGACGGUACCUGCAGAAAAAGCACCGGCUAACUACGUGCCAGCAGCCGCGGUAAUACGUAGGGUGCAAGCGUUGUCCGGAAUUAUUGGGCGUAAAGAGCUCGUAGGCGGUUUGUCGCGUCUGCUGUGAAAUCCCGAGGCUCAACCUCGGGCUUGCAGUGGGUACGGGCAGACUAGAGUGCGGUAGGGGAGAUUGGAAUUCCUGGUGUAGCGGUGGAAUGCGCAGAUAUCAGGAGGAACACCGAUGGCGAAGGCAGAUCUCUGGGCCGUAACUGACGCUGAGGAGCGAAAGCAUGGGGAGCGAACAGGAUUAGAUACCCUGGUAGUCCAUGCCGUAAACGUUGGGCGCUAGAUGUAGGGACCUUUCCACGGUUUCUGUGUCGUAGCUAACGCAUUAAGCGCCCCGCCUGGGGAGUACGGCCGCAAGGCUAAAACUCAAAGGAAUUGACGGGGGCCCGCACAAGCGGCGGAGCAUGCGGAUUAAUUCGAUGCAACGCGAAGAACCUUACCAAGGCUUGACAUACACCGGAAACGGCCAGAGAUGGUCGCCCCCUUGUGGUCGGUGUACAGGUGGUGCAUGGUGUCGUCAGCUC
RNAcentral lists this ribosomal RNA (1021 nucleotides) under bacterium. RNAcentral's name for it is "bacterial SSU rRNA". It matches the Rfam family "Bacterial small subunit ribosomal RNA", at positions 26 to 1061 of the family's 1533-position model. The record is from RNAcentral.